CCUACGGGAGGCAGCAGUGAGGAAUAUUGGUCAAUGGACGAGAGUCUGACCCAGCCAAGUAGCGUGAAGGAUGACUGCCCUAUGGGUUGUAAACUUCUUUUAUAAAGGAAUAAAACGAGGCACGUGUGCCUUUUUGCAUGUACUUUAUGAAUAAGGCUCGGCUAACUCCGUGCCAGCAGCCGCGGUAAUACGGAGGAUCCGAGCGUUAUCCGGAUUUAUUGGGUUUAAAGGGAGCGUAGAUGGGUUGUUAAGUCAGUUGUGAAAGUUUGCGGCUCAACCGUAAAAUUGCAAUUGAUACUGGCAGUCUUGAGGACAGUUGAGGUAGGCGGAAUUCGUGGUGUAGCGGUGAAAUGCUUAGAUAUCACGAAGAACUCCGAUUGCGAAGGCAGCUUACUAAACUGCCACUGACAUUGAUGCUCGAAAGUGUGGGUAUCAAACAGGAUUAGAUACCCCUGUAGUC
RNAcentral lists this ribosomal RNA (460 nucleotides) under uncultured bacterium. RNAcentral describes it as "partial 16S ribosomal RNA". It matches the Rfam family "Bacterial small subunit ribosomal RNA", at positions 338 to 795 of the family's 1533-position model. The record is from RNAcentral.